RNAcentral lists this ribosomal RNA (443 nucleotides) under uncultured prokaryote. RNAcentral's name for it is "bacterial SSU rRNA". It matches the Rfam family "Bacterial small subunit ribosomal RNA", at positions 355 to 796 of the family's 1533-position model. The record is from RNAcentral.
UAAGGAAUAUUGGACAAUGGGCGAAAGCCUGAUCCAGCCAUGCCGCGUGAACGAAGACGGCCUUCUGGGUUGUAAAGUUCUUUUCUACGGGAACAAACCCCCUAUGCGUAGGGAAUUGAGUGUACCGUAGGAAUAAGCACCGGCUAACUACGUGCCAGCAGCCGCGGUAAUACGUAGGGUGCAAGCGUUGUCCGGAUUUACUGGGUUUAAAGGGUGCGCAGGCGGGCUGUUAAGUCAGUGGUUAAAGCACACGGCUCAACCGUGGAAAUGCCAUUGAUACUGGCAGUCUUGAGUACAGAUGAGGUAGGCGGAAUUCAUAGUGUAGCGGUGAAAUGCAUAGAUACUAUGAGGAACACCAAUUGCGAAGGCAGCUUACUGGACUGUAACUGACGCUGAGGCACGAAAGCGUGGGUAGCGAACAGGAUUAGAUACCCCCGUAGUCC